Molecule: ribosomal RNA, 477 nt
Filed under: uncultured bacterium
Lineage: Bacteria
Description: bacterial SSU rRNA
Rfam family: Bacterial small subunit ribosomal RNA
Source: RNAcentral
UUUCGCAAUGCCCGAAAGGGUGACGAUGCGACGCCGCGUGGAGGAUGAAGGCCUUCGGGUUGUAAACUCCUGUCAGGGCAAAAGAAGGGGAGGGGAGGAAACUCCCUGACCUUGACUCAGCCCAAAGGAAGCCCCGGCUAACUCCGUGCCAGCAGCAGCGGUAAGACGGAGAGGGCGAGCGUUGUUCGGAAUUACUGGGCGUAAAGAGCGCGUAGGCGGGUCCGUAUGUCAGGGGUGAAAGCCCCCGGCCCAACCGGGGAAUUGCCUCUGAAACUGCGGUCCUCGAGUGGAGCAGGGGGGAGUGGAACUCUCGGUGGAGCGGUGAAAUGCGUUGAUAUCGAGGGGAACGUCGGCGGCGAAGGCGACUCCCUAUGCUUCUACUGACGCUGAGGCGCGAAAGCCAGGGGAGCGAACGGGAUUAGAUACCCCGGUAGUCCUGGCCUUAAACGGUGGGCACUAAGUAGAGGGGUUAAUCUC